Molecule: ribosomal RNA, 1396 nt
Filed under: uncultured bacterium
Lineage: Bacteria
Description: bacterial SSU rRNA
Rfam family: Bacterial small subunit ribosomal RNA
Source: RNAcentral
AGAGUUUGAUCCUGGCUCAGGAUGAACGCUAGCUACAGGCUUAACACAUGCAAGUCGAGGGGCAGCAUUUUAGUUUGCUUGCAAACUAAAGAUGGCGACCGGCGCACGGGUGAGUAACACGUAUCCAACCUGCCGAUAACUCGGGGAUAGCCUUUCGAAAGAAAGAUUAAUAUCCGAUAGUAUAUUAAAACCGCAUGGUUUUACUAUUAAAGAAUUUCGGUUAUCGAUGGGGAUGCGUUCCAUUAGUUUGUUGGCGGGGUAACGGCCCACCAAGACUACGAUGGAUAGGGGUUCUGAGAGGAAGGUCCCCCACAUUGGAACUGAGACACGGUCCAAACUCCUACGGGAGGCAGCAGUGAGGAAUAUUGGUCAAUGGACGAGAGUCUGAACCAGCCAAGUAGCGUGAAGGAUGACUGCCCUAUGGGUUGUAAACUUCUUUUAUAUGGGAAUAAAGUAUUCCACGUGUGGGAUUUUGUAUGUACCAUAUGAAUAAGGAUCGGCUAACUCCGUGCCAGCAGCCGCGGUAAUACGGAGGAUCCGAGCGUUAUCCGGAUUUAUUGGGUUUAAAGGGAGCGUAGGUGGAUUGUUAAGUCAGUUGUGAAAGUUUGCGGCUCAACCGUAAAAUUGCAGUUGAAACUGGCAGUCUUGAGUACAGUAGAGGUGGGCGGAAUUCGUGGUGUAGCGGUGAAAUGCUUAGAUAUCACGAAGAACUCCGAUUGCGAAGGCAGCUCACUAGACUGCAACUGACACUGAUGCUCGAAAGUGUGGGUAUCAAACAGGAUUAGAUACCCUGGUAGUCCACACAGUAAACGAUGAAUACUCGCUGUUUGCGAUAUACAGUAAGCGGCCAAGCGAAAGCAUUAAGUAUUCCACCUGGGGAGUACGCCGGCAACGGUGAAACUCAAAGGAAUUGACGGGGGCCCGCACAAGCGGAGGAACAUGUGGUUUAAUUCGAUGAUACGCGAGGAACCUUACCCGGGCUUAAAUUGCAUUUGAAUAAUCUGGAAACAGGUUAGCCGCAAGGCAAAUGUGAAGGUGCUGCAUGGUUGUCGUCAGCUCGUGCCGUGAGGUGUCGGCUUAAGUGCCAUAACGAGCGCAACCCUUAUCUUUAGUUACUAACAGGUCAUGCUGAGGACUCUAGAGAGACUGCCGUCGUAAGAUGUGAGGAAGGUGGGGAUGACGUCAAAUCAGCACGGCCCUUACGUCCGGGGCUACACACGUGUUACAAUGGGGGGUACAGAAGGCAGCUACCUGGCGACAGGAUGCUAAUCCCAAAAACCUCUCUCAGUUCGGAUCGAAGUCUGCAACCCGACUUCGUGAAGCUGGAUUCGCUAGUAAUCGCGCAUCAGCCAUGGCGCGGUGAAUACGUUCCCGGGCCUUGCACACACCGCCCGUC